UGGGGAAUUUUGCGCAAUGGGCGAAAGCCUGACGCAGCAACGCCGCGUGAGUGAUGAAGGCCUUCGGGUCGUAAAGCUCUGUCAGAGGGGAAGAACCGCCAGGUGGCUAAUACCUGCCUGGUCUGACGGUACCCUCAAAGGAAGCACCGGCUAACUCCGUGCCAGCAGCCGCGGUAAUACGGAGGGUGCAAGCGUUGUUCGGAAUUAUUGGGCGUAAAGCGCGUGUAGGCGGUUUGUUAAGUCUGGUGUGAAAGCCCUGGGCUCAACCUGGGAAGUGCAUUGGAUACUGGCAAACUUGAGUACGGGAGAGGAUAGUGGAAUUUCGAGUGUAGGGGUGAAAUCCGUAGAUAUUCGAAGGAACACCGGUGGCGAAGGCGGCUAUCUGGACCGAUACUGACGCUGAGACGCGAAAGCGUGGGGAGCAAACAGG
This 430-nucleotide ribosomal RNA is filed under the name bacterium. Its description in RNAcentral is "partial 16S ribosomal RNA". It matches the Rfam family "Bacterial small subunit ribosomal RNA", at positions 355 to 776 of the family's 1533-position model. The record is from RNAcentral.